CCAACAAGUGGAGGUCUGUUUAGCUGACCCUGGCGCUUCAGCUUGGCUUUGGGGCCCUGUCUGUUGAUGCAGCCCACUUGACCACCUACCCAUCUACUUGCUCAUCGGUCUGGACCUAGCCCCGAACCCGCUGUUCCCUUCUGUCAACUGUGGUUCAAGUUUUCAUCUUGCCACUGGAUUUCCCAGCUUUGCUCCCAAAACCUGACUCCACCAGUACCAGCAUGGUCCAUGGCUGGCACAGUCUCCGUUUGCUGUUUGCUAACAUGUGGGCUUUGCCCACCGUCUAAUUACAACAUUCCAUCAUUACAGAGGGCUCACGAUCCCAAACCCCAGCUGGCUCAGCAUGCUGAUACUACUAGUUGAAAGGAAAGCAGCAGGCAUCCAUGGAGCACACCCAAACCAGGUGGCAUCACUGCAGCCAUGAGAUCAGCAUCGCAAUUGAGUUGAGC
Non-coding RNA from Peromyscus maniculatus bairdii (prairie deer mouse), 449 nucleotides. NCBI's taxonomy places the organism in Eukaryota, Metazoa, Chordata, Mammalia, Rodentia, Cricetidae. The record is from RefSeq and is a predicted model, not a curated record.